CUAGUUCCUUCGAUAUCAGUAUAAUCUAAUAAUCAUGAUAUUUGCUGUGUUGGUGUAAUGUACUCUAUUAGAUUAUACUGAUAUCGAAGGAACUA
Paramuricea clavata is the source of this 95-nucleotide non-coding RNA. NCBI's taxonomy places the organism in Eukaryota, Metazoa, Cnidaria, Anthozoa, Malacalcyonacea, Plexauridae. The record is from the annotation of a GenBank genome assembly.